This 301-nucleotide ribosomal RNA is filed under the name uncultured bacterium. RNAcentral describes it as "partial 16S ribosomal RNA". It matches the Rfam family "Bacterial small subunit ribosomal RNA", at positions 509 to 807 of the family's 1533-position model. The record is from RNAcentral.
CAGCCGCCACGGGAAUACGUAGGGUGCAAGCGUUAAUCGGAAUUACUGGGCGUAAAGCGUGCGUAGGCGGUUUGUUAAGUCUGUUGUGAAAUCCCCGGGCUCAACCUGGGAAUGGCAAUGGAUACUGGCUCGCUAGAGUGUGUCAGAGGAUGGUGGAAUUCCCGGUGUAGCAGUGAAAUGCGUAGAGAUCGGAAGGAACAUCUGCGGCGAAGGCGACUAUCUGGGCCAACACUGACACUGAGGCACGAAAGCGUGGGGAGCAAACAGGAUUAGAUACCCCAGUAGUCCCUGUCUCUUAUAC